RNAcentral lists this long non-coding RNA (570 nucleotides) under Homo sapiens (human). Its description in RNAcentral is "non-protein coding LINC02502:9". Lineage: Eukaryota; Metazoa; Chordata; Mammalia; Primates; Hominidae. The record is from RNAcentral.
AUUACAACUAGUUACCAUUCUCUGUAUUUAACCCAGCGAACUACAUAUCGGAAACUAAAAUUUAUUGGAGAGAUUCUCAGAACCAUACUAGAAACAUUACCGAGGUCUCAUCUAGUUUUCUCUACUGCCUUCCAAGGUUUCUACUGUACAAUUUCUCAUUGAAAACUGCCUCAGCAUUUUUUAAGAAGACAUCACUUCCCCCUUGGGGAAGAAAGAACUCAAUGACUUGAAGAAACUGAUGCUUCAGGUACCUUGAAAAAUUCAGCUGGUUUUGAUGAGAAACAGUCAAUGGGGCUGUUAGGGGUCCUGGCGGAUGCUUAGGCAGUGGCUGUCCUGGAUUCCAGGGAAUGCCCCAAACCCAGUGAUGCAGGACCCAGGACUCCAUCUGCUCAUUCUUCAUAAGGUUGGCUCACAGGUCAUCUGCUGAGAAGGUCAUCUUCUCCGUCUUCACUGGGCUCACUGAAUGAGGACAUUCCAAGAUCCCAGCUCAUCUCAUUUGAGCUUUCCUUUUCCUAAUCCCAUGCAUCUGUGUUUGAGAAAAUCUUCCCAAGUGAUAGAUCUUCUAUUUUC